Molecule: non-coding RNA, 205 nt
Filed under: Thermosediminibacter oceani
Lineage: Bacteria; Bacillati; Bacillota; Clostridia; Thermosediminibacterales; Thermosediminibacteraceae
Description: T-box sequence
Rfam family: T-box leader
About the family: Uncharged tRNA acts as the effector for transcription antitermination of genes in the T-box leader family. T-boxes are found upstream of many aminoacyl-tRNA synthetase genes and some amino acid biosynthetic genes usually in Gram-positive bacteria.
Source: RNAcentral
CAAAAUGCGAUGAAGGGGAAAAGCCGUACCUUCUCCUUUAAGAGAGCCGGCGGCUGGUGCGAGCCGGUAAGGGGAUAUGCGGAAUUCCGCCCCGAAGCAGCACCUUCGAACAUGCACAGCAUUAGUAGGAGGUGCCGGCCGAUGCCGUUACCUACGUUGAGCAACAAGAAGGGUGGCACCGCGGGAAAAUCCUCUCGCCCCUAUG